This 282-nucleotide ribosomal RNA is filed under the name Segatella copri DSM 18205. RNAcentral describes it as "Prevotella copri DSM 18205 partial 16S ribosomal RNA". It matches the Rfam family "Bacterial small subunit ribosomal RNA", at positions 495 to 776 of the family's 1533-position model. The record is from RNAcentral. Lineage: Bacteria; Pseudomonadati; Bacteroidota; Bacteroidia; Bacteroidales; Prevotellaceae.
UUGGAAUUGUGUGCCAGCAGCCGCGUUACUACGGACGGUCCGGGCGUUAUCCGGAUUUAUUGGGUUUACAGGGAGCGUAGGCCGGCGAUUAAGCGUGUUGUGAAAUGUAGACGCUCACCGUCUGCACUGCAGCGCGAACUGGUUUCCUUGAGUACGCACAAAGUGGGCGGAAUUCGUGGUGUAGCGGUGAAAUGCUUAGAUAUCACGAAGAACUCCGAUUGCGAAGGCAGCUCACUGGAGCGCAACUGACGCUGAAGCUCGAAAGUGCGGGUAUCGAACAGG